UCAAACUUGGUCAUUUAGAGGAAGUAAAAGUCGUAACAAGGUUUCCGUAGGUGAACCUGCGGAAGGAUCAUUAUUGAAUAAACCUGAUAAGUUGUAGCUGACUCUUCGGAGUAUGUGCACGCUUGUCAUCUUUAUCUAUCCACCUGUGCACAAUCUGUAGUCUUGAGAGAGAUGAGAGCAGUCAACUCUGUAAUUAAGAGCUUUGGCUUGUGACUUACUCUUGAGUCUAUGUAAUUUUCAUACACUACGUAGCAAGUUGCAGAAUGUAUUCAUUGGGCCUAUGUGCCUAUAAAACUUUAUACAACUUUCAGCAACGGAUCUCUUGGCUCUCGCAUCGAUGAAGAACGCAGC
RNAcentral lists this unclassified non-coding RNA (351 nucleotides) under uncultured fungus. Its description in RNAcentral is "partial contains small subunit ribosomal RNA, internal transcribed spacer 1, and 5.8S ribosomal RNA". The stretch from base 1 to 73 matches the Rfam family "Eukaryotic small subunit ribosomal RNA", at positions 1759 to 1831 of the family's 1831-position model. The record is from RNAcentral. Lineage: Eukaryota; Fungi.